This 200-nucleotide unclassified non-coding RNA is filed under the name Sebacinales sp. RNAcentral describes it as "partial internal transcribed spacer 2". Lineage: Eukaryota; Fungi; Basidiomycota; Agaricomycetes; Sebacinales. The record is from RNAcentral.
UUAAGUUCAGCGGGUAAUCCCACCCGAUUUGAGGUCAAAUUGUCAGAGUUUGUCUAAAAGACGGUUGGCAGCACAACAUUCACCUGAGAGCGCGCCUCCAAAGAAGCUUACCAGUGAAGAUACCUAUCACACUGUAUACGCCGACGAGCGGGUCACACUGAGACAUUCCAGACGAGCCGAACACGGCAACGUCCAAGUCC